Leopardus geoffroyi (Geoffroy's cat) is the source of this 595-nucleotide long non-coding RNA. RefSeq lists it as uncharacterized. The transcript is spliced from 3 exons. The record is from RefSeq and is a predicted model, not a curated record. NCBI's taxonomy places the organism in Eukaryota, Metazoa, Chordata, Mammalia, Carnivora, Felidae.
AAUGAGAUCUGUCUGGAGAGGACCAUCGAAGGAGGCUGGAUGCUACUGGAGCAGCGAGGGGAGCACCUGGUACCUGCUUUCCUGGGUAGAGACCCCUCCUACCUCUUCACAUUCUUGAGCACGUACAGAGCUUUUGCUACCACCCAGCAGGUCCUGGACAUACUGUUUAUGAGAUACGGAUGCUUCCAUUCGGACGCUGAGGAGGAUGGCGGACCCCGGGAGCAGGAGAAACAAUUUUCAUGGAGCGCUAGGGUAUGCAGUGAAGGCACUGACUCACCCCGACACCACCCCUCCACUCACGCACGGACUUGAAUUCCAGUGGGAGGUAGGCAGCGGGACACAGCGAGGAGUCUGGCUGGCUUCCCCAAGAAGGACAGAGAUGACCACAUCAUCGGUUAAGGGGUUCCCGUCAAACAGAAUCUUGACGGUCCCUCUUCAGUGACCAGGUCUCUCGUAGGCGGGACUGCCAAAUCACAGGUGGACAACGUAUAGAACCACCCUCUGGACGUCCAGGAGCAGGAGGCAUAGAGGCCAGGUCCCACAGGCCUGUCCUGAGACAUCAGUGGGAAGAACACCCCAUGGUGAUUGUUCUGGC